Molecule: long non-coding RNA, 251 nt
Organism: Otolemur garnettii (small-eared galago)
Lineage: Eukaryota; Metazoa; Chordata; Mammalia; Primates; Galagidae
Exons: 3
Source: RefSeq, a predicted model, not a curated record
AGCCUGGGCAGCAAGAAAGUAUACUAUUUUGUUAAACUUUUGGAUUUUGGCCAAUCUGAUCGGGCAUCUUGGUACACAGCAUGAGGCACACCUCCAAUUUUUGCUGAGUCCAGCUGGCUCACCUUCUAUCCUAACAUCACCUAAGAAGGAAGCUGAAGCAUUUUCACCCAGAGAGGAAGUUUCAUCAUUCUCAUCCUUGACACUCGGGAGUUGGACGGUCUGUACAGUGAGUGGCCAGAAUAUCAGGCUCC